AGGCAACGGGAAGCUCACCAGGGAAGUGAGACAGCCCAGGAAGCAUCAUACUUGAAAUGGCAUGGCAAGCCACCCAAGGUUCAAAUCUUGCCCCUGAUAUUUACUACCUAUGUGUCCUCAGGGCCACCAUUCUAGGGGAAAACUUCCAGACUGUGCCUCAGAGGUCAUCCAUCCAACCUCACAGCUAUCUAGAGGAGCCCCAGAUGAUCAUCGGCACCAUUACUUGAAUGCUUCCCACGGCAGAGAGAUUGUGACCUUAUGAAACACUUUUCCCAAAGUAAGGCGGUUCUAUUUCUUAAAAAGGUCUUUCUUAAAUUGAGCAAAAAUUAUUUGCACCCAAUAAUCCUGGUUCUGCCUUCUGAACUCCAUACGUAUUAAGUAAAAUCCCUCUUCUGCAUGGAAGCCCUUUAAAAAUUUAAGAUAUCUAUCCUAGCUCACCAUCUUUCCCCACCUCAACUUGUCUAAAUAGCUACAGUUUCUUCCAGAAUUUCUGCUGUGACAUAACUCUGAAUCCUCUUCUUACCCUGGUCUUUGUUGUUGUUGCUCAAUCAUUUCAGUUGCGUCUGACUUUUUG
Long non-coding RNA from Trichosurus vulpecula (common brushtail), 574 nucleotides. RefSeq lists it as uncharacterized. The record is from RefSeq and is a predicted model, not a curated record. NCBI's taxonomy places the organism in Eukaryota, Metazoa, Chordata, Mammalia, Diprotodontia, Phalangeridae. The transcript is spliced from 3 exons.